This 365-nucleotide long non-coding RNA is filed under the name Ananas comosus (pineapple). RNAcentral describes it as "long non-coding RNA (ACOM_LNC037805)". Lineage: Eukaryota; Viridiplantae; Streptophyta; Magnoliopsida; Poales; Bromeliaceae. The record is from RNAcentral.
AUAGGUGGUCUACCUCUCGUUGUUUUCUUUUGGAGAGGUUUUGGAGAGUUACCUGUGUAUAGAGACCACCCCACUGUGGAUUUCUUUGAGAUUCUUAUUGUACCUUUUUAUGCUUAUGCUUAGUGGACUACUUUACUCCUUCUCUACUUGUUGCUAGUUUUUAGUUGUUAGCAGCCCUGAUAUCUCUAGAUACUUGUUUCUUCUUACUUUCACAUCUCUUUUGUUGUAGACGCCUUAUAUGCGCAGGCAUAUGGCGGGUCUGUGCGCGCUUCCGGGAGGGCCUCCGCCAGUCCCGGGGCGUGACAUGAAACCUAUCAUUUAUAUAGUGGCAUUGUGGCUAGUGGCUAUACGUCCUCAAAUUGAGG